UUCCCAGUGAUGAUCCUGAGACCUACCGAUAGGAAGUGCCGUUUCUCUCAUCUGCAGGUGUCCAUCCUUAGAGCAUAACCUUUGUGGUUUGGUCUGGAGUGGAGUUCCCAUCUGCAGAUGUUUGAUUCAGAUGUGGUGUGUGAUUUAAAUCGGGUCUCUGAGGGAU
Molecule: small nucleolar RNA, 166 nt
Organism: Panicum hallii
Lineage: Eukaryota; Viridiplantae; Streptophyta; Magnoliopsida; Poales; Poaceae
Product: small nucleolar RNA Z112
Exons: 1
Source: RefSeq, a predicted model, not a curated record